UGCAAUCACUACUGUAAGUCGCUCUGGAUAAGAGCGUCUGCUAAAUGACUGAAA
Non-coding RNA from Salmo salar (Atlantic salmon), 54 nucleotides. The record is from Rfam. Lineage: Eukaryota; Metazoa; Chordata; Actinopteri; Salmoniformes; Salmonidae.